AUUUCAUUGAAUUAUGUGUUCCAAAAUCACAUUUAAAAACUUGACACAAGCUGCAAAAUGUUGUAUUGAAAAAGUGAGACAUGGAUUUGUUACCUUGACCUAUAAACAUUCUGGUCACACCAGUCGAUAGUCCGAAUUUUGAUUCCCAUCGUAAGCUUGUGCAAGCAAAAUGGACGUCACAAAUUUACUCCAAUUGCCAUUUGAAACUUUAAACGUUAUCUUUGGUAGACUAUGUCUGGCGGAUCAAUUAACGUUGGCGGAGUCGCAUCCUACGCUGCUGGCUGUAUUUUUACACCGUUGCCAUGUGUCUCCAGACCCCUUUAAUAAUGGCAUUGAAAUAACACUUCAACCAGCUACCAACAAUAACGAUUGAGAGCUUAAACAACUAAAUAACAAGUAUGUACUUGUGUCUAAUUAUUGCUAAAAGUAUCUUAAAUUAUGAUUAUUUUUAAUUGCAGACUGCCUUAAUGGGAAAUCGUUUGAAUAAACAUAUUUUAUUAAAUUAAACCGAAUCAUCAUUUGUUCAUUCGUUAGUCAAUCAGUCUUAAAAAGUCCAUUUCACCGGACAUAGGG
This 573-nucleotide long non-coding RNA is filed under the name Drosophila guanche. Lineage: Eukaryota; Metazoa; Arthropoda; Insecta; Diptera; Drosophilidae. The record is from RNAcentral.